ACUUGCAAACUAAGGGGAAUGAGCUUCCUUCUGAAUGUUUAUGAAGGAGAGGCCACUGUGAGGAUAGACAGUGAAGUGCAACUACAGCCCGCAAAUGAAAAUGAAUAAUAUUAAUCCAGCCCCUCAAGGCAGUCAUCUGUCUUAGAGCUAUUGGAAUCCUGGAUCAUUGUGGGAAAUGAAAGAUACUUCGAUGGAAUCAGCAGCCAUUGAUCCAAUGCCAACUCCAAGACUGGAACGUCGCAAUGAUAGUUCCAAGGCGGAAAUUUGACGUAAUUCUUUUCGACACAGUUUUACAGGUCUGGAUGCCCAUUUUAAUUCUUCUGAAAGCAUGCCUCCUCCUUCUGGCUUCAGGACUCCAUCUCCAGCCUCUUGAUCUAAAAAUAAUCCCCAAACCAAAAAAUUAGAUACUAUUUCCUCAAAAUUAGGUAUUUUAAUCAAAACAUCUUAACAUAAAUACAUUAUUAUCACCCAAUAUG
Molecule: long non-coding RNA, 476 nt
Filed under: Homo sapiens (human)
Lineage: Eukaryota; Metazoa; Chordata; Mammalia; Primates; Hominidae
Description: novel transcript, antisense to KIF27
Source: RNAcentral